Molecule: RNA transcript, 6013 nt
Organism: Malania oleifera
Lineage: Eukaryota; Viridiplantae; Streptophyta; Magnoliopsida; Santalales; Ximeniaceae
Gene name: putative pentatricopeptide repeat-containing protein At3g11460, mitochondrial
Exons: 2
Source: RefSeq, a predicted model, not a curated record
GGAGGCACCCGCCAUUUUCAACCAUUUCUAAACUGAUUCUUCAAUAACAAGAAAACCAAAUGUCUUCAUGAUCGAAGCUCAGCAUUGAGAGGGAAAUACUAACUUCAUGAAUGGAGCUGUCACUCUCACUCACACUGUCAGUACCAAAAUCAAAACCCACCUGUACAGCACAACCCUCCUCUUCCAAUUGUUCCCUUUUCUCAUUCCCCUGUACUCCUCGUACACCACCACCACGACCCAAUUCGCAGAACAAGCUCCCCAACACCUUCUCACUUCUCUACAAUGUGGAGCUUCGUUGCAGGCAUUCACCAAUACCAAAUCCCUCAGAAGAGGCCAGCAGCUCCAUGCCCACAUGACAUCCUGCGGUGUUUUGCACAACAAUACGUAUAUAAGCACCAAACUUGCUGCCUUCUACGCCAGUUGUGGGCGCAUGGCCGACGCCCAGGUAAUUUUUGAUGGAACUGUUCUUAAAAAUUCUUUUUUGUGGAGUUUCAUGAUAAGGGGGUAUGCCUGCAAAUGCGACGGAUCUUCUGUAAAAGCCCUUGUUUUGUAUCGUGAAAUGCGGAGCUUUGGACGAAAGGCGGAUAAUUUUGCUUACCCUUUUGUUCUCAAGGCAUGCGGUGAUUUGUUGCUUGUCGAAAUUGGGAGGAGAGUUCACUGUGAAAUAGUGGUUUGUGGGUUUGAAUCGGAUGUUUAUGUGGGUAAUUCUCUUAUGGCGAUGUAUUCCAAGUUUGGAGAUAUGGGAACGGUAAGGGAUGUGUUUGAUAGAAUGCCUGAGCGAGAUUUAACUUCAUGGAACACGUUGAUUUCUGGUUAUGUAAAGAAUGGAGACCCUAGAGAGGCUUUAUUGGUUUUUCAUUUAAUGGGAACACAGGGAAUAACUGCUGAUUGCACUACUUUGCUUGGUCUCCUCUCUGCUUCUACCAAUUUAAUGGCAGUGAAACAGGGGAAAGCAAUUCAUUGUUAUGCAGUUCGAAAUGGUCUUGCAUAUUGUAACAUUUAUUUGAUCAACUCUCUUAUUGAAAUUUAUUGUGUCUGUAAUUCUAUGAUGUAUGCAAGGCUAAUUUUUGAGGAGGUGACAUGGAAAGAUACUGUAUCAUGGAAUUCUAUGAUUUCAGGUUACUCACGGAGUGGAGAUGCUUUUGAAAGCCUCAGACUUUUCUGUCAGAUGGUUUUGAAUGGCAAGGAGCCCGAUCAAGUCACUCUUAUUGCAGUGCUUGGAGCUUGUGAUCAAAUUGCAGCCUUGCAGUUUGGCAUGUCUGUUCACUCACUUCUCUUUAAGAAAGGGUUUGAUGCAAACGCUAUGGUGGGAACUGCCCUCAUAAACAUGUAUUCUAAAUGUGGAAAUCUGGAGUGUUCACGUCAUGUUUUUGAUGAGAUACCUAACAAAAAUUUGUUUUCAUGGAGUGCAAUGGUUGCAGGAUAUGGGUCUCAUGGAAUGGGAAGGGAGGCAAUUUCUAUUUUCCAUAAAAUGACGGAAAACAGCAUCAUUCCUGAUGAGGGUGUUUUUACGUCAAUUUUGUCAGCAUGUAGCCAUGCAGGAUUAGUUGAUGAGGGUAAAGAUAUUUUCUAUAGAAUGACAAAAGAGUACAGUGUGAGGCAUUGUCUUGCUCAUUAUUCCUGUAUGGUGGAUCUUCUUAGCCGAGCAGGACAAUUAGAUGAAGCAUAUGAGUUCAUCAAAACUAUGGAAGUUAGACCAACAGGCGAUAUAUGGGCUGCACUGCUCUCUGCCUGUUUGCUCCAUCGAAAUGUAAAGCUAGCAGAGAUUUCAGCACAGAAAGCUUUUGAGAUGAACCCAGAAAAGGUGGGUAGCUACAUUUGCCUUUCCAACAUGUAUGCUGCAGAAAAACGAUGGGAUGAUGUAGAAAGGGUAAGAGCCUUGGUAAGGAGAAAUAGAUUAAAAAAGCCACCUGGAUGCAGCUUUAUUGAGUUAGAUAAAGUGAUUCAUUGGUUCUUAGUCGGUGACAGAUCACACCAACAAGCAGAGGAUAUAUAUGCCAAGCUGGAGGACUUGAGAAAGCUGCUCAAGGAGGCUGGAUACAAGCCUGAUACAAGUUCAGUGUUCUAUGAUGCUGAAGAUGAAGUAAAGGAGAAGAUGCUCUGGGAUCACAGCGAAAGAUUGGCCAUUGCUUUUGCUCUUAUUAAUACAAGCCCAGGGACCGUAAUCAGGAUUAUCAAGAAUCUUCGCACAUGUGGGGAUUGUCACAUUGUCACAAAACUCAUUUCUAAGCUCAUGGGUCGAGAGAUUAUUAUCCGGGACAUACGUAGGUUCCACCACUUUAAAAAUGGAUUGUGCUCUUGUGGUGAUUAUUGGUGAGUAGAUACCAAACAAAGAAUCGUACCCACUUUCCUAAAUCAGGAAAUGCACAUUAUUUUAUUGGAGAAGCUAUUUAUCUAACAUUAUUCUGGAAUAGCAUGGAGGAACAUUUUAUUAGCAUUGCAGAUUUAGCAACUUUAUUUGAAUCUUCGCGAGCUGCAUUUUUCUCCUGCCUGAUCUGGCUGUGGCCUUGCUCGAAUUAUAUAGGACUGAUCUAGUAUCUUGAUUAUCAUAUUGUCCAACAAAUCAGCAAGACAAUAGCAAUGCUCAUGCCUGCUUCUUUAUCAAAUGAGCAUGGUUUCUUUAGUUCCAUUGCUUCCAGAUUUUCCUCAACUGGAGUCUGGUUUGAGCUCUCCAAUGGAGCAUGGUGAUUAUUAUACUUCUCUGGUUCUGGAUAAUCCUCAGUGGUGAUAAUGGAAAAUGGAAUAGGAAUUAGAUACUUCACAAUUGAAGCACUUCUUUAAAUUUAAAUAUUAUGCAUAAGAUGCUUACCGAUCAGCUUGCAUUUUUUUUCAAAAAUAUCAUGAAUAUCUGGAAAAUUUUCACUCAAAGUGGAUUAUUUGAUGAAGUGAUGGUAUGCAACUCCAGACAUUCUAUGUUUUGGUGGCCAUCUUUAUUGAGCAACAUUUGGCCUGGAACUCAAGAGAAUAUAAGCUGUAGUGCUGUACAAUUGUAUCUUGAAAAUGCAUGUUUGCCUGCAACAACGGUGUUCUCUCUCCAACAUGCAAUACUAGUGUACAGAAUGUUAAUCAACCUUGAUUUUCAGAGAAGUAGAAAAAGGUAAGCUGUAGAAUCCAGCAGUAUGCUCCGCAGCAUCACUAUCAGCUUCGUACCACCACUGAUUCCAGAGACCUGUAUUGGCUAUGAAGUAUGUGGUGUUUCACUGUAUAAGAUUCAAGAUAGGCACAAACCUGCAAUAUUGGAUGAUUAAGACUUGCCAAUUUUAUUUUCCAGCCCAAAAAAGCUCUCUUGGCUUUGUCAAGCAUCUGUCACCACGAGGAAAUAGCUUGUUAGACUAUGAAGUCAAGAAGAACUUCACUCUUUUGGCAAGAUAUGUCCUUUUGGUCCAAAGAUCUUUGUUGAUUGAGGUGUAUCAUUAUAUUUCUAGCAUCAUCUGGCACAUCCCAUUAUGGGUGGUGUAAAUUUGUUGCAACCUAUUCAGGGUUCAGGGUGCUUUUGGCUUUCAAUUUUUCCCAUUCCAAGCUCUGUCAGAGAGUAUAUUAUUAAGCUGUGUAGGGUGUUUUUAUGGGGUGAUAGGAAGAAACCCUUGGUGGCCUGGAAGGAUGUGUGUUUACCAAAAGAAGAAGGGGGAUUGGGAGUUUUUGAUCUCAAAACAUGGAAUGAAGCUAUCCUCAUAAAAGCUUUGUGGAAUAUUCAUGAUAAAAAAGAUUCUUUAUGGGUGAAAUGGAUAAAUCAGAAUUAUCUGAGAGGCUGUAACAUUUGGGAGGCUUCUUCUAAACAUGAGGACUCUCCUUUGUUUAAGAUGAUCAUUGAACUUAAGAAUAACGUACUGCUGCAUUGCAGAGACCAACGAGAAGCUGAUUAUCAGGAAAUGGGUGAUUGGUGACAAAAUCUCAUGUUCAGAAGUCUAUCAUUUCUGGGGAAGGAAAGGAAGUAAGGUUCCGUGGUAUAAUGUUGUAUGGUUGAAUGGUUGCAUUCCUAUACACUCCUUUAUUCUUUGGCUUAGUGCAAAAGGUAGACUAGCUACUACUAACAAUAUACAUGUGGAAGGGAUUAACAUUCUUGUUGCUUUUGUAAUAGGGGUGAGGAAACAAUAGAUCAUCUCUUUUUUAAAUGUACUUUUACAGCUACAGUUUGGGGUCACCUGAGGAGUUGGUUGGGCAUCACAAGAGCUUUAACCACACUCAAGGCUUCUCUAAAAUGGAUGCAUAAAGAAGCUAGAGGUAUGGGAGUUCAAUCAGUGGCAAAAAAAGUUUGUUUUGCUGCCACAGUGUAUUAUUUAUGGCACUUCAGAAACAAGAAGAUAUUUGAAGGUAAGGUCACUCCUUUAGAAGCCAUCGUUCGAGUCAUUCAAAUGCAUACAUACAAAAGUGUAUUCGGCAGCUUUCCCAGGUUUGUAAAAACCUGGGAACCGGCAGGAUGUGAGUGAUCUUUUCCUGAUUACAGGCAUGGUUUUGAGUUGUAGUGUUAGGAUUCUUCUGGAGUUGGCCUACUAUAAGGGCUAGAGUAAUAGUUUUCAGUUCCAGGUGUCUCCAGUGGUUUCCCUUGGUUCUGUUAUGUAGUUGCAGGGUUGCAUUUGAUGACACAUCCUUCUCAUUGAUUCAGUUUUGAUGUUGAUGAUUGACUAUUUGUCUGAGUUUUAUGUUCAUAUGAUAGUGAUUCGUCGAGCCUGCUUUAUCUCUGUGAUUCCCUGCUUGCCUGAACUAUUGAUUAUUUUGAUAGUUUAUUUGUUUGAGUUAUGUUGAUCUGAAAUGACUUUUCCAGGCUACUAUAUCUCUGGGGUUGUGAAGUAGGGUUCUUAAGAUCCUAAUCUCAGGAUUGAUACAAUGUAUUUGCAUGUCUGAACUGUACUACCCUCUGUUGAUGAUGCUGUAUUGGGCUGCAGACUUAAUCUGGUAGUGCUGGAAGAUGUAUCUGGUGUGAUUCAUUACUGGUGGCUCAAGUUCAAUCUGGAAGAUCUGCUUUGAGCUGUUGGACUUCUGGUGUGAGCAGUGAGGGUCAGAUUGUAAGAUGAAGUGUUGGGGUCUUAUUCUGCGUGAGGUGCUGCUAUUGGAUACUUGGUUGAAGGGACUUGUUCUCUUCUGGAUUGGAUUCUGAUCUACAGUUGGUUGUUAGCUCAGCUGGAGCUAACUUUGUUUGUAUCUAGUUAUUUGAGAAAAAAAAAAAAAAAAUCCUGAUUUCCCCUUUCUAUCAUCCCAUUUUCAUUUCUUUUCUUUUUCCUUCUUAUCUCUCAAUGGGUUUUCGGACUAUUCUGAGGUGGUUGGAGUUUCUUGAAUUCUUGAAAUAUCCUAUUGGAGUUCUCUCUUAUGGCUUAUCCUGGCUUUGAUUGGUUUUCUUCUGGUACAUCUACUGGAGAUGGAAUGAUGCAGAUUUUAUGUUUGGAUGGUUUCUCCAUAUUGGUUUCUUGUUAUGAUUUUCUUUGGAAGGUGGCUUGAACCUCUGUCAUGGUUGUGCUGGUGGUGGUUUGAGCUUCCAAGUGGCUACUUCUCCUCGGUAUCAUCAUGGCUUUCUUUUGGAGGUGGUUCGAGCUGCUAGUCUUCAUCUUGGGCCUAGUCUUCUUUCUCAUUGUGGAUGGUGGACUGGCCAAGUUGAUGACCCUCUUCAAGCUUUAGGGCUGAUCAAUGAAUUUGUGCUACUCUUCGUCGUAUGGCUUUGCUUGUUGGAGGGUGAUGCACCUUGAAUCCUCCUGAAUUGGAUAUCCAUCAUUUUUAUGGCUUUCUGUCUGGUAAUGGCUUGAGUUCUAAGAUAUUUUAUUAUUGCAUUAUUCGAUUUUUGGUUUUUGGUUUAUUUUUGGUUAGUUUUGAUGGCUUUUUGCUCCUGGGAAUGCCCAUGUUUUGGUAUAAUAGUGUAUAUCUUGUCGAUGGAAGUUUUGCUUCCUUCCUCUCGGGUAUGCCAGAGUUUCUGUACAUAUCCAUUUGAUCAAUAUAAUUUAUCAUUUACUAAUCAAAAAAAAAAAAAAAAAGAUUUGAAUGGUCCAUUGGAUCAAUUAUUUGUUUCAGGUAUUUUUUAUUUUUU